This 1353-nucleotide long non-coding RNA is filed under the name Struthio camelus australis. RNAcentral describes it as "lncRNA (ENSSCUG00000007666.1)". The record is from RNAcentral. Lineage: Eukaryota; Metazoa; Chordata; Aves; Struthioniformes; Struthionidae.
CCCGAUGCUUCCUCCGCUGUCUCUGCUGCACCCUCUUCUGCGCGGCUGGCUUUUGCUGGAGCCCAAAACGGGCCAUGCUUGAGCUGAUUGCAGGCUUGGAGAUGCAAACAGAUACAGCUUUGUUUUAGACUGUUGACAGGACGAAAUAAAAAUAUAGUACUCUUUUCUCAGAACAUUGCCAUGGUGACAUCAGCAAGACAUACAUUUAAUUUUGACUUUUUUCUCCCCAGACCAAUUGCAUUUACGAGAUUUAGCUGGUUCCAUAGAAACGAUGUUCAAGAGCCUAACCUCAGACUACGUGGGCUUGUCUUCAGAGAGUCGCCCUCGCUGGCAUCACCGAGACCCCUUGACGAGUGCAGCGGUUCUCCAGGACAGUGCACAAAGUUUUCUGUUUUUUGGCAGGAAAUAUGCAGGUGGAUAAUGUCAGUGAUGGACGUAAAUCAUGUGGGUGGCCAGCGGGGUGAGCUGCGAGAUGGCGGAGGGUGUGGGUAUCGACCCCUUGCUCUUGACAGCUUACGUCGCCCAUUCACACCCCACCUUGGCAGCGAUCUUCUGCGAUGCUCCCAGAAAUAAGGAGCUCGAGCUGUCGAGGGGCAAGAAUGAAACGCUGAAGCCUGUCCCCAAGCUGUCCUGCUCCACAGGGGCUGGGGACAGGGACCAGGAUCGGGACCCAAUGGUGCUGCCGCGCAUGGGUUCCAGCUUCCCUGGGGAAGCUUCCUGCUGGGAGACGAGCAGACACUUGCAGCACUGCGUCAACAUUACACCUUCGUCGCUGGUCGCAGUAGCUCCAGCUCUUCAGACCAGCUAUGGCUGUUAAUGAUGGACAAGACGCAGGUGUGUGAGGGUAACCGUGCAGAAGGCAGAGCGAUGACCGGUAAGCUGGAGUAGCAAAGACUUUCUAGAAGCACCGCUGGCCAUUCCAGUUAAGGAGUUGGCUCUGCUCUUUCUAGUCUUGCUUUACUGUAUCUUUCACUCCUUUCAGGUGUCCAGGGAACAACAUUAGGAAUGGAUUUGUUGCUGGGAUCGUGUUUGUUUUUGUUCAGUUAUAUUUGUUGCUUUUAAACAUGAAAGUUGUUGCAUCUUUAGGCCAUGUAGUUCAGCUGAGAGCUGCAGUGCCUUUGGCCAGCCGGGAGAGCACUAGGUGACCAAACCCAACCACCGCAAACACACCAGCCUCUCCUAGGCUUCUGCUUCAGGAGGCUUGUUGUGCUAAUAGUCCCUCGUCUGCACUGGUUUCCAGUUAGUUUUUGGUUGCAGUUCAAGUUCAAGGGCGCAAUUUGUAAGAUCUGCUCGGUUUUGGGUUGUCAGCAUUGCUUGUUUCCUUGCUCGUUUACCUGACAGGUGAGAGCCCUG